AUUGAACGCUGGCGGCAUGCCUUACACAUGCAAGUCGAACGGCAGCACGGGUGCUUGCACCUGGUGGCGAGUGGCGAACGGGUGAGUAAUAUAUCGGAACGUACCUUAUCGUGGGGGAUAAUGCAGCGAAAGCUGUGCUAAUACCGCAUAAGCACUAAGGGGGAAAGCAGGGGACCGUAAGGACUUGCGCGAUUAGAGCGGCCGAUACAUGAUGAGCUAGUUGGUGAGGUAAAGGCUCACCAAGGCAACGAUCAGUAGCUGGUCUGAUAGGACGAUCAGCAACACUGGGACUGAGACACGGCCCAGACUCCUACGGGAGGCAGCAGUGGGGAAUUUUGGACAAUGGGGGCAACCCUGAUCCAGCAAUGCCGCGUGAGUGAAGAAGGCCUUCGGGUUGUAAAGCUCUUUUGUCAGGGAAGAAACAGCAGCUCUAAUACAGUAUGCGAAUGACGGUACCUGAAGAAUAAGCACCGGCUGACUACGUGCCAGCAGCCGCCGUAA
Molecule: ribosomal RNA, 501 nt
Filed under: uncultured bacterium
Lineage: Bacteria
Description: partial 16S ribosomal RNA
Rfam family: Bacterial small subunit ribosomal RNA
Source: RNAcentral